UCACCACCAAGCUCGAUUUCGUGGUGAACUGGGCUCGCCGCAGCUCGCUCUGGCCCAUGCCCUUCGGCACCGCCUGCUGCGCGAUCGAGAUGAUGGCGGCCGCGGCCAGCAACUACGACAUCGCCCGGUUCGGCAUGGAGCGGAUGUCGUUCAGCCCCCGCCAGGCCGACGUGCUGAUCUGCGCGGGUCGGGUGCCGUACAAGCUCGCCCCCGUGCUCCGGCGCAUCUGGGAUCAGAUGCCCCAGCCCAAGUGGUGCAUCUCGAUGGGCGCGUGCGCGAGCUCGGGCGGCGUGUUCGACGCCUACUCGAUGGUG
Molecule: unclassified non-coding RNA, 314 nt
Filed under: uncultured bacterium
Lineage: Bacteria
Description: contains 16S-23S intergenic spacer region
Source: RNAcentral